RNAcentral lists this ribosomal RNA (484 nucleotides) under uncultured bacterium. RNAcentral's name for it is "partial 16S ribosomal RNA". It matches the Rfam family "Bacterial small subunit ribosomal RNA", at positions 30 to 507 of the family's 1533-position model. The record is from RNAcentral.
AUUGAACGCUGGCGGCAGGCCUAACACAUGCAAGUCGAGCGGAUGAAGGGAGCUUGCUCCUGGAUUCAGCGGCGGACGGGUGAGUAAUGCCUAGGAAUCUGCCUGGUAGUGGGGGAUAACGUCCGGAAACGGGCGCUAAUACCGCAUACGUCCUGAGGGAGAAAGUGGGGGAUCUUCGGACCCCACGCUAUCAGAUGAGCCUAGGUCGGAUUAGCUAGUUGGUGGGGUAAAGGCCUACCAAGGCGACGAUCCGUAACUGGUCUGAGAGGAUGAUCAGUCACACUGGAACUGAGACACGGUCCAGACUCCUACGGGAGGCAGCAGUGGGGAAUAUUGGACAAUGGGCGAAAGCCUGAUCCAGCCAUGCCGCAUGUGUGAAGAAGGUCUUCGGAUUGUAAAGCACUUUAAGUUGGGAGGAAGGGCAGUAAGUUAAUACCUUGCUGUUUUGACGUUACCAACAGAAUAAGCACCGGCUAACUUCGUG